This 548-nucleotide ribosomal RNA is filed under the name uncultured bacterium. Its description in RNAcentral is "partial 16S ribosomal RNA". It matches the Rfam family "Bacterial small subunit ribosomal RNA", at positions 355 to 894 of the family's 1533-position model. The record is from RNAcentral.
UAGGGAAUCUUCCACAAUGGACGCAAGUCUGAUGGGGCAACGCCGCGUGAGUGAAGAAGGUUUUCGGACCGUAAAGCUCUGUUGUUGGUGAAGAAGGAUAGAGGUAGUAACUGGCCUUUAUUUGACGGUAAUCAACCAGAAAGUCACGGCUAACUACGUGCCAGCAGCCGCGGUAAUACGUAGGUGGCAAGCGUUGUCCGGAUUUAUUGGGCGUAAAGCGAGCGCAGGCGGAAGAAUAAGUCUGAUGUGAAAGCCCUCGGCUUAACCGAGGAAUUGCAUCGGAAACUGUUUUCUUGAGUGCAGAAGAGGAGAGUAGAACUCCAUGUGUAGCGGUGGAAUGCGUAGAUAUAUGGAAGAAUACCAGUGGCGAAGGCGGCUCUCUGGUCUGCAACUGACGCUGAGGCUCGAAAGCAUGGGUAGCGAACAGGAUUAGAUACCCUGGUAGUCCAUGCCGUAAACGAUGAGUGCUAAGUGUUGGGAGGCUUCCGCCUCUCAGUGCUGCAGCUAACGCAUUAAGCACUCCGCCUGGGGGAGUACGACCGCAAGGU